Molecule: non-coding RNA, 74 nt
Organism: Myotis lucifugus (little brown bat)
Lineage: Eukaryota; Metazoa; Chordata; Mammalia; Chiroptera; Vespertilionidae
Source: Rfam
GGUGAUUAUUGGGUGACACACCCCAGAAUCAGGCUCCUCCUCUCUAGUUCAGGGUGCGUCACCCAAGAACCUCG